CUAGCCAAUCACCUGACCACGCCACACGCAAACACCGAUCUCCUCUCCCCGCCACCCGUCGAUCUCCUCCCCCCACCCCCCACCCUGCGCCGUCCGCCGUCCGCUCCCUGCCACCCCCCGCCGUCCGCCGGCCCGCGCCCUGCGCCACCCACUCUCUGCUCUCCUCGCCGCCCGACGUUCCCGCGCAUCCUGGUGGGCCCGUCGCCGCCGCAGCACCCGUCGGUGGUGAGCGAGGAGCCGCCGCCGUCGACAGCGGCGAGGCUGACGGUGGCGGAGGCGCGGAAGGUGUAGCCAUGCAGAUGGAGGAGGCGCGGGCGAGGCUGCGCGCGUCGGGCGCCGACGCCGUGCCGUACGCCGAGUUCCUCCGCCUCUGCUGCGACGCCGCCGGACCAGACGCCGGCACCUCCGUCGUGCGCGCCCUCGACGAGUCCGGAUCCACGGCAAGGCCGUCUUCCUCAUGCCCAAGAUGGCAUAUUACAACUGGCCUAUUGCUAUUGCUGAUCGGGUCUUGGUCAUUGGCGGAGACGACGCCGGCCUUGCAGCAGUUGGCGAUCUGCUGGUUGUAGGACACGGCCGGCGGGAGGUCGACGAUGUCUGGCGUGCACUUGCAGCUAUGCGUGAUGACGGCCGCCGACGUGUGCUCCACCACAGAGGGGUAUUUCUUUCCUCAUGUCAUCUUCCAAUCCAAGGACAUUGUUCAUUCCAAGCCAAGUCUGAAAGAUACAGAGCCCUUUCCCAUUCCUUCUACUCCCCAUUAUUUUUUACCCUUUUUGGUUUGGUUCUGAGCUCGCCCACCAACAACCUCUUCUCUCCAUUUCUUUGUUUGGAUGAUUUUUUUUUUUUUUGGCAGUGAGGGAUCUGUAAUCUCUAACUGGAUUUGUGCCACAACCCAUCGUCCUCUUAGAUCUGGGCUGCAAGCCCUCCUCGACGAGCAUUAAAGUGCUCGAUUGAAGUUCUUGGUUUUUUCGGUUGUCCCUGCCUUGGUUCUGCUCUUGGUCACUGAUGGCCCACAUGAAAAGCUGAAUUGUUGAUCUGAGAAAGGAUUUUGCCACCAUCCAUCCAUAGAUUGGUUUUUUUAUUCACACUGAUCAUACAUUAGUGGCCCACGAUCUAACCACAACUACUACAAACAAACUAUUUCCAAGAUUACUACGUCCAAGUCAUCAAUAGUUUCUGUUACUAUCCAAGGAAAAUCAGCCACCGACGACCUCUCCAAACUGAAGCCAACUGAAUAUCACACUAUUUCUUACAUGAAAAAUAAAAUUCCUCACAUGCAUGUCAUUAUAUGUGAAGGAAUUGUUCACAACAAUGAGAUUUAAUACUUAUAUUGUUGCAUACAUGCCUUCUAUUUUAUCACUACCUUUCUACUAUUGGAUGUCAUCAAUAAAAUAAUACAGCUUAUAUAUUUGCAUGUUAUUUGAAAUUAUGUCUUUGCAUUGUCUUUUAUGUGUCAUUUAUUUGUUGCCCGCAGCAACGCGCGGGGUAUCAUCUAGUAUUUACUCAUGGUUUACACACAUCAUAUAAGUUAUUGUGCUUAAAUGAGCAUUUUAUAAGUUGUUGCACUAGAUUACACCCACCUCACAAGUCCAUGUAUCGCGGGUGUAGUUUACUCUCGAUAGAAAUAACCUUUGGAUGAACGUUUUUCGUAGCUAAACAACCGUGCUGUUACGGCUUAAACAACUGAAACAAGCCAGCGUGGUGUAGGAAAUAGCCGUUGUGUUGGGUUGGGUUGGAUUGGAUGGAUGCAUACAUUGCCAACUUUAGGCCAUGCUCUUUUACUAGGUUUAGUAAAAGACAUAUAAAAGGUAUCAGUGGAUUAGAAUUUAAAUAAUAGAUUUAUAUAAUUUUUAAAGCAACUUUUCUGUGGAUUUUUUUUUUUUGCAAAAUACACUGAUUAGUGGUUUCGAAAACGUGUUUACAAAAAACUAGGGAAUAUGGGUUAGAAAACUAGGGUAAAGAAGUCAUUGCCGUGAAUUGCUCACGCAUUAGGUACUUCUAGACGUAGAAUUUUAGAAAUAAGAAGAAACUGGGAUUGGGAUGUUUUUGUAUAAGCAAAUCUUACAACAAUGUAAAACAUGGGAAUUUACAAGACAUUAUGAUCCAAUAGCUCAUAGGAAAAUAACACAAGACUUUGGAUUGCUUCUACAGAGAAGAGAGGUAAAAGAAGAGAACAUUGGAAUUCUCAAAGGAAAAUUAAAUGUAGUUGGAGACAUGGAGUUAUGUGCAAAAUUUCUAUGGAAUUAGGGUAUAGGAAUGUAAUCCAAAAAGAUAGCCAGCUUCAAAAUCUGGUUAAUCUAGUCUGGAGAAUUCCACUAAAAUUGAAUCCUUUUAAAUUCCUAUAUAAAUACUUAGUCACCAAGCAUGGAGCGGUUGGUGCGCCGCUGGCGCUGCUGCCUUUCCCCUCGCCCUCCUCACCCUUUUGGCCUUUUCCCCUCGAGCCAGUCGUGCAGAGUUCGUCGGCCCCCUUUUCCCUCCGACUCCGGUGACCGAAGUCACCGGCAGCGGGGAGGGGGCGUCCAGGUUAGUCGGGUAGAUUCCGUAGGAGGGCAAAUAUUUUUGUUUUAU
Molecule: long non-coding RNA, 2565 nt
Organism: Oryza brachyantha (malo sina)
Lineage: Eukaryota; Viridiplantae; Streptophyta; Magnoliopsida; Poales; Poaceae
Exons: 6
Source: RefSeq, a predicted model, not a curated record